AACGAACGCUGGCGGCAGGCCUAACACAUGCAAGUCGAACGCCCCGCAAGGAGAGCGGCAGACGGGUGAGUAACGCGUGGCAACCUACCGUUUGGUUCGGCACAACCUACUGUAACGGGGGCGAUUACGGGAUAAGCCCUAACCUGGAAAGGUCUAACGCCGAAAGAUCGGAGCACGUCUGAUUCGCACGUUGGGCGGGUAACUGCUCAGCAAGGGGACAAGCAGUAGCUGGUGUGAGAGGAUGAUCAGGCACACUGAGACUGAGACACAGCGCAGACUCCUACGGAAUGCAGCAGUGGGGGAUAUUGGACAACCGGCGCAAGCCUGAUCCAGCCAUGCCGGGUGAGUGAUGAAGUCGGUAGAGUAGUAAAGCACGUUUGUCCGGGACGAUAAUGACUGUACCGGAAGAAUAAGCCCCGGCUAACUUCGUG
This 431-nucleotide ribosomal RNA is filed under the name uncultured bacterium. RNAcentral's name for it is "partial 16S ribosomal RNA". It matches the Rfam family "Bacterial small subunit ribosomal RNA", at positions 29 to 507 of the family's 1533-position model. The record is from RNAcentral.